RNAcentral lists this ribosomal RNA (745 nucleotides) under uncultured bacterium. RNAcentral's name for it is "bacterial SSU rRNA". It matches the Rfam family "Bacterial small subunit ribosomal RNA", at positions 33 to 773 of the family's 1533-position model. The record is from RNAcentral.
ACGCUGGCGGCAGGCCUAACACAUGCAAGUCGAGCGGUAGAGAGAAGCUUGCUUCUCUUGAGAGCGGCGGACGGGUGAGUAAUGCCUAGGAAUCUGCCUGGUAGUGGGGGGUAACGUUCGGAAACGGACGCUAAUACCGCAUACGUCCUACGGGAGUAAGCAGGGGACCUUCGGGCCUUGCGCUAUCAGAUGAGCCUAGGUCGGAUUAGCUAGUUGGUGGGGUAAUGGCUCACCAAGGCGACGAUCCGUAACUGGUCUGAGAGGAUGAUCAGUCACACUGGAACUGAGACACGGUCCAGGCUCCUACGGGAGGCAGCAGUGGGGAAUAUUGGACAAUGGGCGAAAGCCUGAUCCAGCCAUGCCGCGUGUGUGAAGAAGGUCUUCGGAUUGUAAAGCACUUUAAGUUGGGAGGAAGGGCAGUUGCCUAAUACGUAACUGUUUUGACGUUACCGACAGAAUAAGCACCGGCUAACUCUGUGCCAGCAGCCGCGGUAAUACAGAGGGUGCAAGCGUUAAUCGGAAUUACUGGGCGUAAAGCGCGCGUAGGUGGUUUGUUAAGUUGGAUGUGAAAUCCCCGGGCUCAACCUGGGAACUGCAUUCAAAACUGACUGACUAGAGUAUGGUAGAGGGUGGUGGUAUUUCCUGUGUAGCGGUGAAAUGCGUAGAUAUAGGAAGGAACACCAGUGGCGAAGGCGACCACCUGGACUGAUACUGACACUGAGGUGCGAAAGCGUGGGGAGCAAAC